Molecule: ribosomal RNA, 506 nt
Filed under: uncultured bacterium
Lineage: Bacteria
Description: partial 16S ribosomal RNA
Rfam family: Bacterial small subunit ribosomal RNA
Source: RNAcentral
AUUGAACGCUGGCGGCAGGCCUAACACAUGCAAGUCGAACGGCAGCGGGGGGUAGCUUGCUGCCCCGCCGGCGAGUGGCGGACGGGUGAGUAAUGCCUGGGGAGCUGCCCAAUCGAGGGGGAUACCAGUUGGAAACGACUGCUAAUACCGCAUACGCCCUGAGGGGGAAAGGUGGGGAUCUUCGGACCUACCGCGAUUGGAUGCACCCAGGUGGGAUUAGCCAGUUGGUGAGGUAACGGCUCACCAAGGCGACGAUCUCUAGCUGGUCUGAGAGGAUGACCAGCCACACGGGAACUGAGACACGGUCCAGACUCCUACGGGAGGCAGCAGUGGGGAAUAUUGCACAAUGGGGGAAACCCUGAUGCAGCCAUGCCGCGUGUGUGAAGAAGGCCUUCGGGUUGUAAAGCACUUUCAGCGAGGAGGAAAGGUGGCUAGCUAAUACCUAGUUGCUGUGACGUUACUCGCAGAAGAAGCACCGGCUAACUCCGUGCCAGCAGCCGCCGCCG